RNAcentral lists this ribosomal RNA (1164 nucleotides) under uncultured fungus. RNAcentral's name for it is "eukaryotic LSU rRNA". The stretch from base 533 to 1164 matches the Rfam family "Eukaryotic large subunit ribosomal RNA", at positions 1 to 649 of the family's 3401-position model. Lineage: Eukaryota; Fungi. The record is from RNAcentral.
AAGUCGUAACAAGGUUUCCGUAGGUGAACCUGCGGAAGGAUCAUUAGUGAAUUUCGACGCGAGUCGAUACACUUUCGGCUGCGCGCCUUCGGGCCGCACGCCGUCCACACACCUGUGCACACUUCGGUGGGAGGUGACUCCCGCUGUAUUUUACACACUUUUAAAAGUCUUGAAUGUAACACAUUUAUAACAAAUACAACUUUCAGCAACGGAUCUCUUGGCUCUCGCAUCGAUGAGGAACGCAGCGAAAUGCGAUAAGUAAUGUGAAUUGCAGAAUUCAGUGAAUCAUCGAAUCUUUGAACGCACCUUGCGCCCCACGGCUUUCCGUGGGGCACGCCCGUUCGAGUGUCACGUUAACUCUCGUGCUUGGUCUAACCCACCUCGUCACGGAUUUGGACGUUGCCGGCGCGAGUCGGCUCGUCUCGAAAUGCAUUAGCUAGAGUGCACGUCACGUGCGGCGUUGAUAAUUGUCUACGUCCUGCGAGUCGAGCGCCCUGCUCCCAAUCGCCCUCACGGGCAACAUUUCAAAGUUUGACCUCGAAUCGGGUGGGACUACCCGCUGAACUUAAGCAUAUCAAUAAGCGGAGGAAAAGAAACUAACAAGGAUUCCCCUAGUAACGGCGAGUGAAGCGGGAAAAGCUCAAAUUUGAAAUCUGGUCGUCCACGGCGGCCCGAGUUGUAGUCUAGAGAGGCGUUAUCCGCGGCGGACCACGUACAAGUCCUUUGGGAUGAGGCGUCAUAGAGGGUGAGAAUCCCGUCCAUGACGUGGACUACCGUCGCUUUGCGUUGCGCCUUCAAAGAGUCGAGUUGUUUGGGAAUGCAGCUCAAAAUGGGUGGUAAAUUCCAUCUAAAGCUAAAUACAGGCGAGAGACCGAUAGCGAACAAGUACCGUGAGGGAAAGAUGAAAAGAACUUUGGAAAGAGAGUUAAACAGUACGUGAAAUUGCUGAAAGGGAAACGCUUGAAGUCAGUCGCUUCGGCCGGGACUCAGUCGGGCUUUUGCCCGGCGUACUUCCCGUGUCGAGGGGCCAGCGUCAGUUUUCGGCGUCGAAGAAGGGUCGAGGGAAUGUGGCACCUUCGGGUGUGUUAUAGCCCUCGAUCGGACGCGGCGCCGGGGACUGAGGAACGCUUUAACAGGAUGCUGGCGUAAUGGCUUUAAGCGACC